UACGGGGGGGGCAAGCGUUGUUCGGAAUUACUGGGCGUAAAGGGUUUGUAGGUGGCCUGCUAAGUCAGACGUGAAAUCCCUCAGCUUAACUGGGGAACUGCGUCUGAGACUGGUAGGCUCGAGGACAGGAGAGGAACGCGGAAUUCCAGGUGUAGCGGUGAAAUGCGCAGAUAUCGGGAAGAACACCCGUGGCGAAGGCGGCUCUCUGGGACGGUACUGACGCUGAGACGCGAAAGCGUGGGGAGCGAACAGG
This 253-nucleotide ribosomal RNA is filed under the name uncultured bacterium. RNAcentral describes it as "partial 16S ribosomal RNA". It matches the Rfam family "Bacterial small subunit ribosomal RNA", at positions 524 to 776 of the family's 1533-position model. The record is from RNAcentral.